RNAcentral lists this ribosomal RNA (274 nucleotides) under uncultured bacterium. RNAcentral's name for it is "partial 16S ribosomal RNA". It matches the Rfam family "Bacterial small subunit ribosomal RNA", at positions 523 to 796 of the family's 1533-position model. The record is from RNAcentral.
AUACGGAGGGUGCAAGCGUUAUUCGGAAUCACUGGGCGUAAAGGACGCGUAGGCGGUUAGUUAAGUUAGAUGUGAAAGCCCCGGGCUUAACCUGGGAACUGCAUUUAAAACUGGCUAACUAGAGUUAAGUAGAGGGGAGUGGAAUUUCAGGUGUAGCGGUGAAAUGCGUAGAGAUCUGAAGGAACACCAGUGGCGAAGGCGACUCCCUGGACUUGAACUGACGCUGAGGUACGAAAGCGUGGGUAGCAAACGGGAUUAGAAACCCUUGUAGUCC